Molecule: ribosomal RNA, 244 nt
Filed under: uncultured bacterium
Lineage: Bacteria
Description: partial 16S ribosomal RNA
Rfam family: Bacterial small subunit ribosomal RNA
Source: RNAcentral
UGCCCUACGGGACGCAGCAGUGGGGAAUAUUGCACAAUGGGGGAAACCCUGAUGCAGCAACGCCGCGUGAGUGAAGAAGUCAUUCGUGAUGUAAAGCUCUAUCAGCAGGGAAGAAAAUGACGGUACCUGAGUAAGAAGCCCCGGCUAACUACGUGCCAGCAGCCGCGGUAAUACGUAGGUGGCAAGCGUUAUCCGGAUUUACUGGGUGUAAAGGGCGUGUAGGCGGGGAAGCAAGUGAGAUGUG